This 775-nucleotide ribosomal RNA is filed under the name uncultured Neocallimastigales. RNAcentral's name for it is "partial large subunit ribosomal RNA". It matches the Rfam family "Eukaryotic large subunit ribosomal RNA", at positions 20 to 645 of the family's 3401-position model. Lineage: Eukaryota; Fungi; Neocallimastigomycota; Neocallimastigomycetes; Neocallimastigales. The record is from RNAcentral.
AAUAUCAGUCAUGCAUAGCAUAUCAAUAAGCGGAGGAAAAGAAACUAACAAGGAUUCCCUUAGUAACGGCGAGUGAAGCGGGAAGAGCUCAAAUUUGAAAUCUUCAAGGUUCUACCUUGACGAAUUGUAGUUUAUAGAAGUGUUUUCUGUUAGUGGAGUGGCAAAAGUUCUUUGGAAUAGGACAUCAUAGAGGGUGAGAAUCCCGUAUUUGGUCAUUCCUCCUAGCGUUGUGAUACACUUUCAACGAGUCGGAUUGUUUGGGAAUGCAGUCCAAAAUGGGUGGUAAAUUUCAUCUAAAGCUAAAUAUUGGCGAGAGACCGAUAGCGAACAAGUACCGUGAGGGAAAGAUGAAAAGAACUUUGAAAAGAGAGUUAAACAGUACGUGAAAUUGUCAAAAGGGAAGCGUUUGACACCAGUGUUGUUUUUCCGAAAAUCAAUUACGAAUGUUUUGUUUUUGAGAAGUUAUGACUUCAUCGGCUUGCUCCUUUCUUUACGAAACUUUCUUAAUGCACUUUUCGGUUAACAAGUCAACAUCAAUUUCUUUUGUUGUAAAAGGGUAUGAGGAAGGUGGCUUUCUUUUCGGAGAAAGUGUUUAUAGCCUUGUGCCUCUGCAAUCGGAGAGAUUGAGGUCUGCAGCGUAGAUCCUUCGGGGUUAGAUACAUUUGUGCUAAGUUAUAGCUUUUCAUAGACAACUUGUUGACUAUGUUGAGUCUUGUAGCUUACUCGCUUAUGCUAUUUUACCUACGCUUAGGAUGUUGAUCUCUCACAGUCGAGC